CGUUCUCGGGUCUUGUACACACCGCCCGUCAAACCAUGGGAGCUGGUAAUGCCCGAAGUCAAAAAAUAAACAAACUGCCUAAGGCAGGACUGGUGACUGGGGUUAAGUCGUAACAAGGUAUCCCUACGAGAACGUGGGGAUGGAUCACCUCCUUUCUACGGAGUACAAAAUACUUUAUUACUUAAUUUACUAUUGGAGUAAAUUAAAUUCUUAACUUUAUUAAUCAGACCUAUUAACCAAUUUGUCAUGGCUUUCAGGUCAAAAGCUUUAUAUCUAGUUUUGAGAGAACAUUCUCUCAAUUGUUCUUUGAAAACUGAAUAGUAAGAUAUUUUAAAAAUAUUUACAACGACAUCUUAACAAAUAUAAAUGUCAAUUUGUUUUGAUCAUCGAGUAAUCAUAUAACUUAUGAUUUAUUGAAAUGUCUUAAAAUACACAUCAUUAACCAAACAAUAGGAAAAUACUUUAAAUAAGGAAGAGUCUGUGG
Molecule: unclassified non-coding RNA, 484 nt
Filed under: Mycoplasmopsis gallinarum
Lineage: Bacteria; Bacillati; Mycoplasmatota; Mycoplasmoidales; Metamycoplasmataceae
Description: Mycoplasma gallinarum partial contains 16S ribosomal RNA, 16S-23S ribosomal RNA intergenic spacer, and 23S ribosomal RNA
Rfam family: Bacterial small subunit ribosomal RNA (bases 1-155)
Source: RNAcentral